This 253-nucleotide ribosomal RNA is filed under the name uncultured bacterium. Its description in RNAcentral is "partial 16S ribosomal RNA". It matches the Rfam family "Bacterial small subunit ribosomal RNA", at positions 524 to 776 of the family's 1533-position model. The record is from RNAcentral.
UACGUAGGGGGCAAGCGUUGUCCGGAAUCAUUGGGCGUAAAGAGCGUGUAGGCGGCCCGGUAAGUCCGCUGUGAAAGUCGGGGGCUCAACCCUCGAAAGCCGGUGGAUACUGUCGGGCUAGAGUGCGGGAGAGGCGAGUGGAAUUCCCGGUGUAGUGGUGAAAUGCGUAGAUAUCGGGAGGAACACCAGUGGCGAAGGCGACUUCCUGGCCUGUUCUUGACGCUGAGGCGCGAAAGCUAGGGGAGCAAACGGG